This 356-nucleotide long non-coding RNA is filed under the name Gopherus agassizii (Agassiz's desert tortoise). RNAcentral describes it as "lncRNA (ENSGAGG00000013148.1)". The record is from RNAcentral. Lineage: Eukaryota; Metazoa; Chordata; Testudines; Testudinidae.
CAUUUUUAAUUUAACAGAGAGACUCUUUUUUUUUUUCAGCCUGCAUGCCAUUAAGGAUGAGAUGUUUCUUAGACAUACUUUGUACCGUCAGGCAGCAGCAUUUAACCAUGCAUCCCUCAAUCAACCCCUUGCUGUUCCUCUCUAUAUUGAAACUGGUGCAAGCCAAAUAAAUGAACGAAGGGGUGGUUUAUAUUUCCCUUUUUCACCAUUGCCCCAGAUACGUUCCCAGGCUACUGCAGCGAUGGAAGAAACAGAUCUUAAUAUUGUGAAAAUUCCAACUGGAACAGAAAUGUGCUGUUUGUUUGAAGAUGGUAAGUAUGAAAUUUUUUAGGAAAAAUAAUAUACUUUGUAACUUU